RNAcentral lists this non-coding RNA (48 nucleotides) under Palpitomonas bilix. The record is from RNAcentral.
AAUGGAAAGAAAAAAAGGAAAAAAAGAAAAAAAAGAAAAAAAAACUUU